Molecule: ribosomal RNA, 521 nt
Filed under: uncultured bacterium
Lineage: Bacteria
Description: bacterial SSU rRNA
Rfam family: Bacterial small subunit ribosomal RNA
Source: RNAcentral
GGUAGGGGAGUCUUCGGACCUAUCACCUGGAGAUGAGCCCGCGUGCCAUUAGGUAGGUUGGCGGGGUAAUGGCCCACCAAGCCGAAGAUGGCUAGCUGGUCUGAGAGGAUGAUCAGCCACACUGGAACUGAGACACGGUCCAGACUCCUACGGGAGGCAGCAGUGGGGAAUAUUGCGCAAUGGGGAAACCCUGACGCAGCAACGCCGCGUGUGUGAUGAAGGCCUUCGGGUCGUAAAGCACUGUGAGGUGGAACGAGCCGCCGGGGGCUAAUACCCUUCGGCCCGACGGUACCACCAGAGGAAGCACCGGCUAACCCUGUGCCAGCAGCCGCGGUAAUACAGGGGGUGCAAGCGUUGUUCGGAAUUAUUGGGCGUAAAGCGCGUGUAGGCGGACCAUUAAGUCUGGUGUGAAAUCCCUCGGCUUAACCGAGGACGUGCAUUGGAUACUGGUGGUCUUGAGUCCUGGAGAGGGUAGCGGAAUUCCCCAGUGUAGAGGUGAAAUUCGUAGAUAUUGGGAGGAA